RNAcentral lists this ribosomal RNA (750 nucleotides) under Staphylococcus sp. Mg25. RNAcentral's name for it is "bacterial SSU rRNA". It matches the Rfam family "Bacterial small subunit ribosomal RNA", at positions 63 to 795 of the family's 1533-position model. The record is from RNAcentral. Lineage: Bacteria; Bacillati; Bacillota; Bacilli; Caryophanales; Staphylococcaceae.
CGAGCGAACAGACGAGGAGCUUGCUCCUCUGACGUUAGCGGCGGACGGGUGAGUAACACGUGGAUAACCUACCUAUAAGACUGGGAUAACUUCGGGAAACCGGAGCUAAUACCGGAUAAUAUAUUGAACCGCAUGGUUCAAUAGUGAAAGACGGUUUUGCUGUCACUUAUAGAUGGAUCCGCGCCGCAUUAGCUAGUUGGUAAGGUAACGGCUUACCAAGGCAACGAUGCGUAGCCGACCUGAGAGGGUGAUCGGCCACACUGGAACUGAGACACGGUCCAGACUCCUACGGGAGGCAGCAGUAGGGAAUCUUCCGCAAUGGGCGAAAGCCUGACGGAGCAACGCCGCGUGAGUGAUGAAGGUCUUCGGAUCGUAAAACUCUGUUAUUAGGGAAGAACAAAUGUGUAAGUAACUAUGCACGUCUUGACGGUACCUAAUCAGAAAGCCACGGCUAACUACGUGCCAGCAGCCGCGGUAAUACGUAGGUGGCAAGCGUUAUCCGGAAUUAUUGGGCGUAAAGCGCGCGUAGGCGGUUUUUUAAGUCUGAUGUGAAAGCCCACGGCUCAACCGUGGAGGGUCAUUGGAAACUGGAAAACUUGAGUGCAGAAGAGGAAAGUGGAAUUCCAUGUGUAGCGGUGAAAUGCGCAGAGAUAUGGAGGAACACCAGUGGCGAAGGCGACUUUCUGGUCUGUAACUGACGCUGAUGUGCGAAAGCGUGGGGAUCAAACAGGAAUAGAUACCCUGGUAGUC